CAAUAGCGUAUAUUAAAGUUGUUGCGGUUAAAAAGCUCGUAGUUGGAUUUCUGCUGAGAACGACCGGUCCGCCCUUUGGGUGUGUAUCUGGCUCUUUCUUGGCAUCUUCUUGGUGAACGUUGCUGCACUUGACUGUGUGGAGCGCUACCCAGGACUUUUACUUUGAGGAAAUUAGAGUGUUUCAAGCAGGCAUACGCCUUGAAUACAUUAGCAUGGAAUAAUAAGAUAGGACCUCGGUUCUAUUUUGUUGGUUUCUAGAGCUGAGGUAAUGAUUAAUAGGGACAGUUGGGGGCAUUAGUAUUUAAUUGUCAGAGGUGGAAUUCUCAGAUUUGUUAAAGACUAACUUAUGCGAAAGCAUUUGCCAAGGAUGUUUUCAUUAA
RNAcentral lists this ribosomal RNA (380 nucleotides) under uncultured eukaryote. RNAcentral's name for it is "partial 18S ribosomal RNA". It matches the Rfam family "Eukaryotic small subunit ribosomal RNA", at positions 592 to 976 of the family's 1831-position model. The record is from RNAcentral.